Molecule: long non-coding RNA, 1737 nt
Filed under: Nicotiana benthamiana
Lineage: Eukaryota; Viridiplantae; Streptophyta; Magnoliopsida; Solanales; Solanaceae
Description: long non-coding RNA (NBEN_LNC023847)
Source: RNAcentral
UCUAAAAUCCCUAACACACAUAUAUGGAGACACCACAGAGAGAUACAUAGAGGCAUUGAGAGAAGAAGCUAUGCAUCUUUGGCUGCUUCUUCACAAAAACACACACACACAAUACACAAUAUAUAGAUGCACGAAGGACCAAGCUGGGCUUCUUCUGAAAUCUGAAGAAUACACACACACGCAUAUAGAAGCUUGGGAAUUGGGGGGAAGGGCUGGCGACUGGGGCUUCUCUUGAAGAUACACGCCUUUACACAAGACAACACAGACAAUCUAUACAAAAGGGAUUCCUGAAGAAGGAGAUGAGCGCAACUGCGUAGAACAGACCCCCAUCCCAUGAAAUCAUCUUCUCCAAGUGACCCGCCCCUUUCUUCAGUGUCAGCUCCUCCACUUACCAUAGCUUAUCGAAAACCUAGCAGAAAAAGUGACAAAAUCACUGGAUUGACGAGCUCCAGCCGUGACAAACAGACACAAGAGGUUUCGAUUCAGAAUAAGAAGAAUACCAUAAACGAAAAAUGUGGUGUUGUUUCUCUUCUUAUUUCAAUUGAAAAUUUUCAAAAUGGAGAUUGUUUGUUUUUGAAAUCGAUGUCGAGGUGCCGAUCUGAGUCCUGUCCGCAUCAAUUUUCUGAUUUCCACACAAAUGGAUUUUGCACCGAUUCUGUUUGAAGCCGCAACAAUGUCUAGCUGUAAUGGUUGAUUCAUUUCAGUUCGUAUAAAUUUCAGGUCCAUUUAUAUUGCAUUGGUUGCUCCCUUUAAUAUUUAUGUAGUUUACAUGGAUUUUCCGUAUUGGUUUGUUAUUGCACCUUAGUCGCUGUUAGAUUCUGUGGACGAAACUCUUACUUCGAGCGUUUGUUGCGCUUUUUGUUUGAGUGAUCCGUAGGCUAGGAUUGCAAGUGUUACUAAUCUCAUCGUGUAGAGGAUUCUCUGAAUUGUCUGAGACUCUUGAGGGUUGAUUUAAGUUUUGGAUAUAAGAUUGCUCAUCUUAAUAAGAGUUACAUAGUGUUAGUUUUUUUGCUGACUGCUGCUGUUUAGCUGUAUUUUGUUAUUCCUCGAGUUUUUCGAUCGUUGUUUUGUGUUGCCUCGGAUUUUGUUGCUGUUCUUCAGCUAAAUUUUUGAAAAUGGGACUGUUGUACCUCCUGGUUUUUUUUCAAUACUGAAAAGAUUUUGGAUUAUCAGGUUCAUCUUGUACUCCUCCUUGUUUAUUAACGGAAGAUGUUUGUGAGCUAGUUAGUGUACUAAUCUGUGCUGCCGAUUUCUCGUGAAGUUUACUGAAUUUCAUUGUUUGGCGUGUUUGACUGAAGUUCGUCCAGUUAUAAGAUUCCGACUCAUUUCCGGCUUCUAUUUGAUACUUUUGAACUGUUUUCUUUGCCUUUAAUUAGAGAUGUUGUUGUUAGUUGUUUGAUCAUGUUGGGUUUAGCAGCAUUUUCUUUAGUUUGAAACUGGUUGGGAACUACUUGAAUAUUUGAGUGAAAAGCCAUGUAUUGAAGAGCUAAUUAUCUUUAGUUAGAGCCUGUUUGUUAUUCUUAUAUAUAAUGUGAUCAUGCCUAAUAUUGCUGCUGAUUAGGAAGGAUUUGAAGCAGCAGUUUGCUUUGUUCUUCUGUAGUUCAAGUUAGCUCGCUCUUCUGAAUAAAAUAGAGCCUGUAGGUUAUGCUUAUAUAUAAUGUGUGUCAUGCCUAAUAUUGCUGUUGAUAAGGAAGGAUCUGAAGCAGCAGUUUGGUCGUUUAUCUUUAUUUCCACAGC